CCUACGGGAGGCAGCAGUGGGGAAUAUUGCACAAUGGGGGGAACCUUGAUGCAGCAACGCCGCGUGGGUGAAGAAGUACUCCGGUAUGUAAAGCCCUGUCAGCAGGGAAGAAAAUGACGGUACCUGACCAAGAAGCCCCGGCUAACGACGUGCCAGCAGCCGCGGUAAUACGUAGGGGGCAAGCGUUAUCCGGAUUUACUGGGUGUAAAGGGAGCGUAGACGGCAAGGAAAGUCUGGAGUGAAAGCCCGUGGCCCAACCACGGGACUGCUUUGGAAACUGUGUUGCUGGAGUGCAGGAGGGGUAAGCGGAAUUCCUAGUGUAGCGGUGAAAUGCGUAGAUAUUGGGUAGAACACCGGUGGCGAAGGCGGCUAUCUGGCCAUUUACUGACGCUGAGGCUCGAAAGCAUGGGGAUCAAACAGGAUUAGAUACCCCAGUAGUC
Molecule: ribosomal RNA, 440 nt
Filed under: uncultured bacterium
Lineage: Bacteria
Description: partial 16S ribosomal RNA
Rfam family: Bacterial small subunit ribosomal RNA
Source: RNAcentral